UAGGGAAUCUUCCGCAAUGGACGCAAGUCUGACGGAGCAACGCCGCGUGAGUGAAGAAGGAUUUCGGUUCGUAAAACUCUGUUGUUAGAGAAGAACAGCGCAUAGAGUAACUGUUAUGCGUGUGACGGUUUCUAACCAGAAAGCCACGGCUAACUACGUGCCAGCAGCCGCGGUAAUACGUAGGUGGCAAGCGUUGUCCGGAUUUAUUGGGCGUAAAGCGAGCGCAGGCGGUCAAUUAAGUCUGAUGUGAAAGCCCCCGGCUCAACCGGGGAGGGUCAUUGGAAACUGGUUGACUUGAGUGCAGAAGAGGAGAGUGGAAUUCCAUGUGUAGCGGUGAAAUGCGUAGAUAUAUGGAGGAACACCAGUGGCGAAGGCGACUCUCUGGUCUGUAACUGACGCUGAGGCUCGAAAGCGUGGGGAGCGAACAGG
Molecule: ribosomal RNA, 429 nt
Filed under: Bacteroidota bacterium
Lineage: Bacteria; Pseudomonadati; Bacteroidota
Description: Bacteroidetes bacterium partial 16S ribosomal RNA
Rfam family: Bacterial small subunit ribosomal RNA
Source: RNAcentral